CCCUUAGAUGCUCUGGGCCGCACGCGCGCUACACUGGUCGAUGCAACGAGUUUCUUUCCUUGGCCGACAGGCCUGGGCAAUCUUUGAACAUCGAUCGUGAUCGGGAUAGAUUCUUGUAAUUUUUGAUCUUAAACGAGGAAUUCCUAGUAAACGCAAGUCAUCAGCUUGCAUUGAUUACGUCCCUGCCCUUUGUACACACCGCCCGUCGCACCUACCGAUUGAAUGGUCCGGUGAAAUCUCCGGACUGGCGUGAGUCGGAGCAAUCUGACAAACACCGGAAAGUUGAUUAAACCUUACCAUUUAGAGGAAGGUGANGUCGUNACA
Molecule: ribosomal RNA, 324 nt
Filed under: uncultured eukaryote
Lineage: Eukaryota
Description: partial 18S ribosomal RNA
Rfam family: Eukaryotic small subunit ribosomal RNA
Source: RNAcentral